AAUCUGGCGGUCUUUGGCCGUCCGAGUUGUAACCUGGAGGAGCGCUUUCCGCGCCGGACCGUGUACAAGUCUCCUGGAACGGAGCGUCAUAGAGGGUGAGAAUCCCGUCCAUGACACGGACGCCCGGUGCUUUGUGAUUGCGCCCCCGAAGAGUCGCGUUGUUUGGGAAUGCGGCGCAAAAUGGGUGGUAAAUUCCAUCUAAAGCUAAAUAUUGGCGAGAGACCGAUAGCGAACAAGUACCGUGAGGGAAAGAUGAAAAGCACUUUGGAAAGAGAGUUAAACAGUACGUGAAAUUGUUGAAAGGGAAACGCUUGAAGUCAGUCGCGUCGCACGGAACUCAGCCUGGCCUUGGCCUGGGUGUACUUUCCGUGCGACGGGUCAACAUCAAUUUCGGGCGGCGGACAAUGGGGGAGGGGAGAUGUAGCGUCGUCUUCGGCGGCGUGUUAUAGCCCCCUUGUCGUAUACGCCGUGCGGGAUUGAGGACCGCAGCGCGCCCUUGUGGCCCGGGGUUCGCCCACGUCACGCGCUUAGGAUGUUGGCAUAAUGGCUUUAAGCGACCCGUCUUGAAACACGGACCAGGGAGUCUAACAUGCUUGCGAGUGUUCGGGUGGAAACCCUUGGCGCGGAAUGAAAGUGAAUGUUGGGGAGCUUCCGCGAGGGGGUGCCACGACGCCCGGCCCUGAAGUUCUCUGACGGUGCUGGCGGUAGAGCAGGUGUGUUGGGACCCGAAAGAUGGUGAACUAUGCCUGAAUAGGGCGAAGCCAGAG
This 767-nucleotide ribosomal RNA is filed under the name Phellinotus piptadeniae. RNAcentral's name for it is "LSU rRNA". It matches the Rfam family "Eukaryotic large subunit ribosomal RNA", at positions 119 to 857 of the family's 3401-position model. The record is from RNAcentral. Lineage: Eukaryota; Fungi; Basidiomycota; Agaricomycetes; Hymenochaetales; Hymenochaetaceae.